RNAcentral lists this non-coding RNA (24 nucleotides) under Cricetulus griseus (Chinese hamster). The record is from RNAcentral. Lineage: Eukaryota; Metazoa; Chordata; Mammalia; Rodentia; Cricetidae.
CCGAGUGCUGGGAUUAAAGGGGUG